AUAACUUGCUUGUGGUAGCCAAGCGUUCUUAGCGACGUUGCUUUUUAAUUCGCCAAGUGUUGGAUUGUUCAUCCACCAACAGGGAACGUGAGCUGGGUUUAGACCGUCGUGAGACAGGUU
Molecule: non-coding RNA, 120 nt
Filed under: Lottia gigantea (owl limpet)
Lineage: Eukaryota; Metazoa; Mollusca; Gastropoda; Lottiidae
Description: eukaryotic large subunit ribosomal RNA
Rfam family: Eukaryotic large subunit ribosomal RNA
Source: Rfam by way of RNAcentral